RNAcentral lists this ribosomal RNA (440 nucleotides) under uncultured bacterium. Its description in RNAcentral is "partial 16S ribosomal RNA". It matches the Rfam family "Bacterial small subunit ribosomal RNA", at positions 338 to 795 of the family's 1533-position model. The record is from RNAcentral.
CCUACGGGAGGCAGCAGUGGGGGAUAUUGCACAAUGGGGGGAACCCUGAUGCAGCGACGCCGCGUGGGUGAAGAAGCGCCUCGGCGCGUAAAGCCCUGUCAGCAGGGAAGAAAAUGACGGUACCUGAAGAAGAACCCCCGGCUAACUACGUGCCAGCAGCCGCGGUAAUACGUAGGGGGCAAGCGUUAUCCGGAUUUACUGGGUGUAAAGGGGGCGCAGUCGGCGAUGCAAGCCAGGAGUGAAAGCCUGGGGCCCAACCCCGGGACUGCUCUUGGAACUGCGUGGCUGGAGUGCAGGAGGGGCAGGCGGAAUGCGUGGUGUAGCGGUGAAAUGCGUAGAUAUCAGGAGGAACACCGGUGGCGAAGGCAGCCUGCUGGACUGCAACUGACGUUGAGGCCCGAAAGCGUGGGGAGCAAACAGGAUUAGAUACCCUAGUAGUC